RNAcentral lists this ribosomal RNA (523 nucleotides) under uncultured Glomus. RNAcentral's name for it is "SSU rRNA". It matches the Rfam family "Eukaryotic small subunit ribosomal RNA", at positions 562 to 1087 of the family's 1831-position model. Lineage: Eukaryota; Fungi; Glomeromycota; Glomeromycetes; Glomerales; Glomeraceae. The record is from RNAcentral.
UGGUGCCAGCAGCCGCGGUAAUUCCAGCUCCAAUAGCGUAUAUUAAAGUUGUUGCAGUUAAAAAGCUCGUAGUUGAAUUUCGGGAUUAGUACGUUGGUCGUGCCUUAGGUACGUACUGGUGUUACUGGUUCCUACCUUCUGACGAACCAUCAUGUCAUUAAUUUGGUGUGGCGGGGAAUCAGGACUGUUACUUUGAAAAAAUUAGAGUGUUUAAAGCAGGCUCGCGCUUGAAUACAUUAGCAUGGAAUAAUGAAAUAGGACGUUGACCCUAUUUUGUUGGUUUCUAGGAUUGACGUAAUGAUUAAUAGGGAUAGUUGGGGGCAUUAGUAUUCAAUUGUCAGAGGUGAAAUUCUUGGAUUUAUUGAAGACUAACUACUGCGAAAGCAUUUGCCAAGGAUGUUUUCAUUAAUCAAGAACGAAAGUUAGGGGAUCGAAGACGAUCAGAUACCGUCGUAGUCUUAACCAUAAACUAUGCCGACUAGGGAUCGGAUGAUGUUAAUUUUUUAAUGACUCAUUCGGCGCC